This 1150-nucleotide ribosomal RNA is filed under the name Candidatus Phytoplasma fragariae. RNAcentral describes it as "bacterial SSU rRNA". It matches the Rfam family "Bacterial small subunit ribosomal RNA", at positions 193 to 1351 of the family's 1533-position model. Lineage: Bacteria; Bacillati; Mycoplasmatota; Mollicutes; Acholeplasmatales; Acholeplasmataceae. The record is from RNAcentral.
UUUUAAAGACCUAGUAAUAGGUAUGCUUAAAGAGGAGCUUGCGUCACAUUAGUUAGUUGGUAGGGUAAAAGCCUACCAAGACUAUGAUGUGUAGCCGGGCUGAGAGGUCAAACGGCCACAUUGGGACUGAGACACGGCCCAAACUCCUACGGGAGGCAGCAGUAAGGAAUUUUCGGCAAUGGAGGAAACUCUGACCGAGCAACGCCGCGUGAACGAUGAAGUAUUUCGGUACGUAAAGUUCUUUUAUUAGGGAAGAAAAGAUGGUGGAAAAACCAUUAUGACGGUACCUAAUGAAUAAGCCCCGGCUAACUAUGUGCCAGCAGCCGCGGUAAUACAUAGGGGGCAAGCGUUAUCCGGAAUUAUUGGGCGUAAAGGGUGCGUAGGCGGUUAAAUAAGUUUAUGGUCUAAGUGCAAUGCUCAACGUUGUGAUGCUAUAAAAACUGUUUAGCUAGAGUUGGAUAGAGGCAAGUGGAAUUCCAUGUGUAGUGGUAAAAUGCGUAAAUAUAUGGAGGAACACCAGGAGCGAAGGCGGCUUGCUGGGUCUUAACUGACGCUGAGGCACGAAAGCGUGGGGAGCAAACAGGAUUAGAUACCCUGGUAGUCCACGCCCUAAACGAUGAGUACUAAACGUUGGGUAAAACCAGUGUUGAAGUUAACACAUUAAGUACUCCGCCUGAGUAGUACGUACGCAAGUAUGAAACUUAAAGGAAUUGACGGGACUCCGCACAAGCGGUGGAUCAUGUUGUUUAAUUCGAAGGUACCCGAAAAACCUCACCAGGUCUUGACAUGCUUUUGCAAAGCUGUAGAAAUACAGUGGAGGUUAUCAAUUGCACAGGUGGUGCAUGGUUGUCGUCAGCUCGUGUCGUGAGAUGUUGGGUUAAGUCCCGCAACGAGCGCAACCCUUGUUGUUAAUUGCCAGCAUGUAAUGAUGGGGACUUUAGCAAGACUGCCAGUGAUAAAUUGGAGGAAGGUGGGGACGACGUCAAAUCAUCAUGCCCCUUAUGACCUGGGCUACAAACGUGAUACAAUGGCUGUUACAAAGGGUAGCUAAAGCGCAAGCUUCUGGCGAAUCUCAAAAAAGCAGUCUCAGUUCGGAUUGAAGUCUGCAACUCGACUUCAUGAAGUUGGAAUCGCUAGUAAUCGCGAAUCA